CUGAAUCAGUGUGUGUGUUAGUGGAAGCGUCUGGAAAGGCGCGCGAUACAGGGUGACAGCCCCGUACACAAAAAUGCACAUGCUGUGAGCUCGAUGAGUAGGGCGGGACACGUGGUAUCCUGUCUGAAUAUGGGGGGACCAUCCUCCAAGGCUAAAUACUCCUGACUGACCGAUAGUGAACCAGUACCGUGAGGGAAAGGCGAAAAGAACCCCGGCGAGGGGAGUGAAAAAGAACCUGAAACCGUGUACGUACAAGCAGUGGGAGCACGCUUAGGCGUGUGACUGCGUACCUUUUGUAUAAUGGGUCAGCGACUUAUAUUCUGUAGCAAGGUUAACCGAAUAGGGGAGCCGAAGGGAAACCGAGUCUUAACUGGGCGUUAAGUUGCAGGGUAUAGACCCGAAACCCGGUGAUCUAGCCAUGGGCAGGUUGAAGGUUGGGUAACACUAACUGGAGGACCGAACCGACUAAUGUUGAAAAAUUAGCGGAUGACUUGUGGCUGGGGGUGAAAGGCCAAUCAAACCGGGAGAUAGCUGGUUCUCCCCGAAAGCUAUUUAGGUAGCGCCUCGUGAAUUCAUCUCCGGGGGUAGAGCACUGUUUCGGCAAGGGGGUCAUCCCGACUUACCAACCCGAUGCAAACUGCGAAUACCGGAGAAUGUUAUCACGGGAGACACACGGCGGGUGCUAACGUCCGUCGUGAAGAGGGAAACAACCCAGACCGCCAGCUAAGGUCCCAAAGUCAUGGUUAAGUGGGAAACGAUGUGGGAAGGCCCAGACAGCCAGGAUGUUGGCUUAGAAGCAGCCAUCAUUUAAAGAAAGCGUAAUAGCUCACUGGUCGAGUCGGCCUGCGCGGAAGAUGUAACGGGGCUAAACCAUGCACCGAAGCUGCGGCAGCGACGCUUAUGCGUUGUUGGGUAGGGGAGCGUUCUGUAAGCCUGUGAAGGUGUGCUGUGAGGCAUGCUGGAGGUAUCAGAAGUGCGAAUGCUGACAUAAGUAACGAUAAAGCGGGUGAAAAGCCCGCUCGCCGGAAGACCAAGGGUUCCUGUCCAACGUUAAUCGGGGCAGGGUGAGUCGACCCCUAAGGCGAGGCCGAAAGGCGUAGUCGAUGGGAAACAGGUUAAUAUUCCUGUACUUGGUGUUACUGCGAAGGGGGGACGGAGAAGGCUAUGUUGGCCGGGCGACGGUUGUCCCGGUUUAAGCGUGUAGGCUGGUUUUCCAGGCAAAUCCGGAAAAUCAAGGCUGAGGCGUGAUGACGAGGCACUACGGUGCUGAAGCAACAAAUGCCCUGCUUCCAGGAAAAGCCUCUAAGCAUCAGGUAACAUCAAAUCGUACCCCAAACCGACACAGGUGGUCAGGUAGAGAAUACCAAGGCGCUUGAGAGAACUCGGGUGAAGGAACUAGGCAAAAUGGUGCCGUAACUUCGGGAGAAGGCACGCUGAUAUGUAGGUGAAGUCCCUCGCGGAUGGAGCUGAAAUCAGUCGAAGAUACCAGCUGGCUGCAACUGUUUAUUAAAAACACAGCACUGUGCAAACACGAAAGUGGACGUAUACGGUGUGACGCCUGCCCGGUGCCGGAAGGUUAAUUGAUGGGGUCAGCGCAAGCGAAGCUCUUGAUCGAAGCCCCGGUAAACGGCGGCCGUAACUAUAACGGUCCUAAGGUAGCGAAAUUCCUUGUCGGGUAAGUUCCGACCUGCACGAAUGGCGUAAUGAUGGCCAGGCUGUCUCCACCCGAGACUCAGUGAAAUUGAACUCGCUGUGAAGAUGCAGUGUACCCGCGGCAAGACGGAAAGACCCCGUGAACCUUUACUAUAGCUUGACACUGAACAUUGAGCCUUGAUGUGUAGGAUAGGUGGGAGGCUUAGAAGUGUGGACGCCAGUCUGCAUGGAGCCGACCUUGAAAUACCACCCUUUAAUGUUUGAUGUUCUAACGUUGACCCGUAAUCCGGGUUGCGGACAGUGUCUGGUGGGUAGUUUGACUGGGGCGGUCUCCUCCUAAAGAGUAACGGAGGAGCACGAAGGUUGGCUAAUCCUGGUCGGACAUCAGGAGGUUAGUGCAAUGGCAUAAGCCAGCUUGACUGCGAGCGUGACGGCGCGAGCAGGUGCGAAAGCAGGUCAUAGUGAUCCGGUGGUUCUGAAUGGAAGGGCCAUCGCUCAACGGAUAAAAGGUACUCCGGGGAUAACAGGCUGAUACCGCCCAAGAGUUCAUAUCGACGGCGGUGUUUGGCACCUCGAUGUCGGCUCAUCACAUCCUGGGGCUGAAGUAGGUCCCAAGGGUAUGGCUGUUCGCCAUUUAAAGUGGUACGCGAGCUGGGUUUAGAACGUCGUGAGACAGUUCGGUCCCUAUCUGCCGUGGGCGCUGGAGAACUGAGGGGGGCUGCUCCUAGUACGAGAGGACCGGAGUGGACGCAUCACUGGUGUUCGGGUUGUCAUGCCAAUGGCACUGCCCGGUAGCUAAAUGCGGAAGAGAUAAGUGCUGAAAGCAUCUAAGCACGAAACUUGCC
RNAcentral lists this ribosomal RNA (2498 nucleotides) under Escherichia coli. RNAcentral's name for it is "partial 23S ribosomal RNA". It matches the Rfam family "Bacterial large subunit ribosomal RNA", at positions 312 to 2798 of the family's 2925-position model. The record is from RNAcentral. Lineage: Bacteria; Pseudomonadati; Pseudomonadota; Gammaproteobacteria; Enterobacterales; Enterobacteriaceae.